UGCAGUUCUGCACUACAGACUGUUACUGCAAAGAAGGACCUACAGCUACAUAUGUCACCCUAGGUGAUAAUUCAAGCUUGCUUAGCUUUCCUAUAGGAGACAUCACCAUCAGUAUCACUUCAUUAAUAUUGUGUGAAAUUGGACCUUAUUUCUGCGGGCAUUAACAUCUGAUUGUAGCUGCCAAGAGUGAUGUGACUGGUUGUGUACAGCAUUACAGAUCUUUCAGUGUCAUGGAAUGUAUACCAAGACCUACAUGGCAACAUUCAGCAUAUGUCAUUCAAGAUCCUGGAUUUGGGCUACUUAAGACUACCAUUUGCUACUACUAUCUAACUACAGAUUUGCAGAAGCUUACACAGUGCCAGCACACAUUGAAGACAGCUCAAGGUUUGAUCAAACCUUUUAUUAUCUGAAGAAUAUAAACAAAAUGAAGAGACAAGCUACACUGUUUAGUUUUUUCGAUUCAUCCAGAAAGAAAAAAGCAAUACAUUUUCAGGAAUUGGACUUAUGUGUUAAUGACAUUAAUAAUAAUGUUGUAGCUAACACUGAGAAGGAUGCUGUACUUAAUGAAAAUACUAUAUAUGAUAUUGACCACAAAUUUGCAAUUGACACACUGGAUGAUAUGCAUGAUAUUGACAGUGUUGUUGUGAAUGAUGAUGAUACAGUUUCAGAUGUGUUAACAGUUGAAGAGGCAUGUACAAGCACUAUAUCCUGUUGGUCCAAAAAACAAAUAGAAUAUUUUAGU
Long non-coding RNA from Bufo bufo (common toad), 742 nucleotides. RefSeq lists it as uncharacterized. The transcript is spliced from 4 exons. Lineage: Eukaryota; Metazoa; Chordata; Amphibia; Anura; Bufonidae. The record is from RefSeq and is a predicted model, not a curated record.